RNAcentral lists this ribosomal RNA (463 nucleotides) under uncultured bacterium. RNAcentral's name for it is "bacterial SSU rRNA". It matches the Rfam family "Bacterial small subunit ribosomal RNA", at positions 38 to 513 of the family's 1533-position model. The record is from RNAcentral.
GGCGGCGUGCUUAACACAUGCAAGUCGAACGGAAUCCAAGGAGCUUGCUCUGGAAGAUUUAGUGGCGAACGGGUGAGCAUCACGUGAGCAACCUACCCCGAAGACAGGGAUAACACCGGGAAACCGGUGCUAAUACCUGAUACCUCUCAUUGGCCGCAUGGUCGAUGAAAGAAAUGUUUUUUCGCUUCGGGAGGGGCUCGCGGUCCAUCAGCUUGUUGGCGGGGUAAUGGCCCACCAAGGCUACGACGGAUAGCUGGUCUGAGAGGACGAUCAGCCACACUGGAACUGAGACACGGUCCAGACUCCUACGGGAGGCAGCAGUGGGGAAUCUUGCGCAAUGGACGAAAGUCUGACGCAGCAACGCCGCGUGAGGGACGAAGGCUUUCUGAGUUGUAAACCUCUUUCGACAGGAACGAUUGUGACGGUACCUGUAGAAGAAGCACCGGCCAACUAUGUGUCUGUG